RNAcentral lists this transfer RNA (73 nucleotides) under Candidatus Bathyarchaeota archaeon. RNAcentral's name for it is "tRNA-Cys". It matches the Rfam family "tRNA". Rfam says of the family: Transfer RNA (tRNA) molecules are approximately 80 nucleotides in length. Their secondary structure includes four short double-helical elements and three loops (D, anti-codon, and T loops). Further hydrogen bonds mediate the characteristic L-shaped molecular structure. tRNAs have two regions of fundamental functional importance: the anti-codon, which is responsible for specific mRNA codon recognition, and the 3' end, to which the tRNAs corresponding amino acid is attached (by aminoacyl-tRNA synthetases). tRNAs cope with the degeneracy of the genetic code in two manners: having more than one tRNA (with a specific anti-codon) for a particular amino acid; and 'wobble' base-pairing, i.e. permitting non-standard base-pairing at the 3rd anti-codon position. Lineage: Archaea; Thermoproteati; Candidatus Bathyarchaeota. The record is from RNAcentral. RNAcentral also lists the same sequence under 1 other name.
GCCGGGGUGGCCGAACGGCUCAGGCGACGGGCUGCAGACCCGUAGUAUGUGGGUUCAACUCCCACCCCCGGCU